GUCCCCGUAGUAUAACAUAUUACAACGGUCUUGUAAACCGUAAAUGAAAAAAUUCACUUUCCGAGGAUA
Molecule: transfer RNA, 69 nt
Filed under: Dugong dugon (dugong)
Lineage: Eukaryota; Metazoa; Chordata; Mammalia; Sirenia; Dugongidae
Description: tRNA-Thr
Source: RNAcentral